CGUUCUGCAAAAACGCCGAAGAAAUUUACAAGGCGUUCCGACGAUGCCGCCUUCAAAACGCUGGAACAUAUGCAAAAAGCUGACAGUGCGGGGACGAGCGCCGGACUUGGUAACGCGGCGCGGGCGCCCCGAUGUACAUGGAGCACAACGCGGAGGCCGGGCGCGGCGGUGAGCGAUCCCGUCACGGCCAGGCACUCACACUGUAAGGAUGAGAUUGUUGCUCCACUUAAAGAUAAGAGGUCCGGUGGGAGAAGGAACCUGAACAACGGCAGCUCAAUAUCUUGAUAUAAAGAAGCCUGCACCGGCAGUGUACUCUUACUACACAGUGUUGACACAUAAAACAGAUGGAUGAUGAUUUGGUCAAGGCUGAGUUGUUGCCGUCCUCCUAUUACAAGAUUCACAGCUAUUGCUCUGAUUUGUCUCAUCGAGGUAUUGCAAAUAUUGAUACUAGCGAUGUAUUUUGCUAGCAUAAGUACACAUGGAGUUUUUGUAUUGCAACUUUCUGAUCUUAUCUAGUGUUGUUGUUUUUUGUUGUUGUGGAUUUCUCUUGAAAAGAACACAACUGGAUAAUUGUGCAAUUUGUGAUUCAUGCCAAUUUCAUUAUGAA
This is a long non-coding RNA of Phragmites australis (common reed), 607 nucleotides long. RefSeq lists it as uncharacterized. NCBI's taxonomy places the organism in Eukaryota, Viridiplantae, Streptophyta, Magnoliopsida, Poales, Poaceae. The transcript has 3 exons. The record is from RefSeq and is a predicted model, not a curated record.